CAAUCUGUAUUGAUAAGGACAAGAAGCAUAUUUUUACGGUUCAUAGAGAGGGAAGUCUCGGCUGAAAGCUUCCUAACACGGAAAAAUGCUUUACCACCUUGGAACUUCAGCGGUGAACAUUUUUAGUAAUCGCUGACGGUCGCAGUCCGUUACACUGUCCGAGUGCCGACUGGUUUGUUUAAAGUUGUCGGAACAAGGGUGGAACCACGAGAUCAUCACUCGUCCCUUCU
RNAcentral lists this non-coding RNA (230 nucleotides) under Fictibacillus phosphorivorans. RNAcentral describes it as "T-box sequence". It matches the Rfam family "T-box leader". Rfam says of the family: Uncharged tRNA acts as the effector for transcription antitermination of genes in the T-box leader family. T-boxes are found upstream of many aminoacyl-tRNA synthetase genes and some amino acid biosynthetic genes usually in Gram-positive bacteria. The anticodon of a specific tRNA base pairs to a specifier sequence within the T-box motif, and the NCCA acceptor tail of the tRNA base pairs to a conserved bulge in the T-box antiterminator hairpin. The record is from RNAcentral. Lineage: Bacteria; Bacillati; Bacillota; Bacilli; Caryophanales; Fictibacillaceae.